This 73-nucleotide transfer RNA is filed under the name Schistosoma mansoni. RNAcentral describes it as "tRNA-Thr". The record is from RNAcentral. Lineage: Eukaryota; Metazoa; Platyhelminthes; Trematoda; Strigeidida; Schistosomatidae.
AGGCAGUAUAGUUAAAGUAGUUAUAAUAUUAGUUUUGUAAACUAAAGAAGAUACAUAGUGUAUAGGUCUGCUG